Molecule: long non-coding RNA, 17127 nt
Organism: Equus asinus (donkey)
Lineage: Eukaryota; Metazoa; Chordata; Mammalia; Perissodactyla; Equidae
Source: Ensembl
AUUCUGGUCAUCUUGGUCCAGCAACAUGAUCCCAGUUUAUCCCUCUUGCCAAAAGGAUAGACAGUUGUGGGGAUGCCCUACAUAAAGACCCUCUGGCUUCCAUUUGAGAAAAGAGUUUAGCCAAUGCAGAAUAUAAACCUUUCAACACAGUUCAAAUCUAUAUAUACAUAUAAAUUAAUGUGAGCAAUAAAAUAAUGAAAUUUAUAUCAACUUGAAGCUACAACUGUACCUUAAAAAAGACAACUUUGGAGAUUGAAAUAAAGAUGUGCUAUUUGAAGGUAAAAGCAAUAGACUUUCACUCUCCAUUCCCAUUUCUGACUAUCACACAUCAGUUUGCAUUUUCCUUCUCUUUCUGGAGCUGUAACAUCACCAGUACAGUUUUAAGUCAUAAUCUUCAAAAACCCAGCACUCACUCUGCUGCUGAGGACACUUGUUUCAGCUGGGAAUAUCAUGUUGUGCUCAUUUUAUGAAAUGAUUAACAUAAACAAAAUUGUUUUAAAAAUCUAUCAUUCUCCAGAUGUACUGUUUUACUGAGAAACCAACACAAGAAAACAUGGCUCUACUUUGCUGCCCAAUUUUAAGGUCGCCUUGGGAAGUGAGAGUUGGGAGGCUUUUUGUCUUUCCAGGGGCAAGAAGUAGAGACUAAUUUUUAAGAUAAAGGUCGUUGGUACCACGGUCGAGCCAUUUUCCCCUCUGAGCACUUAACUCCAGAGCCGAUCCUAGGAAAAGCCAACGUAGUGGGCCAAAUGGAGUUAAUUCUUGUAAAAUAAGGUAGGACAAACUGAUCCCUCAAAUACGAAGAUGUGAUGAGAAAGAAUCCUGUUCCUCUAAGAGUGUUGCUCCAUCCCCACAAAUUAAAGGAUUGUAGAAUAAAUAUCACCCAAAUCUGCCAUUAGCUCCAUAGUUUGACAGGGGGAAGAUAGACUCAAUUAAAUUACAAUGAUUAAAAGUGCAACUUAUUGAACUUUUCAGGUUUAAUUCAACAAAUAUUUAUUUGGCCAUCUACUUCCUGCUCAGCGCGAGACCAGGAGCAUUAAAAUGGUUACUGUGGGAGCCACACAGCAACGCCUCUGUCGUCUCUACCGCGGGGACUUGGUUUAGCAGAUCUAUGUUUCUCCCUAGGCAGCAUCCCAUUCCUCGACUUCCUUUUUCUCUUCCCUCUCCUGGAGCUCUCAGAACUAAAAGAGAGAGCCUUCCAUUUCUCAGUCCUGGCUCAGAAUCAGCUCAGAUGGAACCGCAAACACAAGCUCCAUUUUAAGAGGUUCAAACCUCACCGUUCCAAAGAUCCAGUUUACAUUUGAAGAAACUAAAGUUCCAUCCCUUCGACAGACAAGCCAGGGCAGUGGGUUUUAAGCUAAUCCCAUACUCAGCCUGCCCUGGAACUACCAGAGCCAGCCUGGCGACUUGGAGAUCAGGAGCAAAACUGGAAAUGAUCACGUGGCUAUGCACCCCUCACCUUGCGCCGUUUCCGCCUAGAUCAGGAGGUGGGGCAGGGGAGGGAGGGAGUCGGAGGAGGAAUAGAUUCCGGGAGAGAGAAGGAUGAAAGUGAGGGAGGCAUCAAAAUAGUUACAGUUUUUUGAGUCCAAAAGGGAAGAUGGCACUGAGGAGGAACAUGAAAAGAAACUUUCAGAUUCGCCCAGGUAAUGACACGCUCAGGAUGGUGCGGAAACGCAGCUCUCAGACCUUGCCUGCGAACCAGUUCAUUAAAACAAAUUGCUUCUCCACAGCCCCAGACAGAUUCCAUCAUGAACUUUGGCAGAAGAAGGGCGGGCUGCUCUUGACCUUAGAUACCCACCCGUUGACGUCGGCCAGACCACGGACAGCUCCCGCCCCACAGCUCUUCUGCCCUCCAAGCGCUGGGCAGUCUCCAGUUCCAACCGGCAGGACGAGGAGGUGGCUGCUCAGAUCAGCCUCCUCUUGCUCUGCUCCCUCCCCAGUCACCCCUCGGGUGUCUUCUGGCAGCCUGGAGUCCGGCCUUGAGCUAGGUGUCCCACGAGGUGUCAGAGACUGAGAACCAAGAAAGGGGCGCCCAAUGAAGACCUAGGUCUGCAGCCGCUGGGAGCUCAGCUUCAGCGCCCAAGAGGCAGCACCAGGGAGAUGACAGCGGGGAGAAGGCGGCCGCGGCCCCCAAGAGACGACAGGGCGGAUGUGGCUUUACUUUUCUCCCUGAGGGAGGCUGGCUUGUUAAAGACAGCCCAAGUUGUCAGGUACUGCUUCGCUUGGGGUCCGUGUUUGCUUCUGAGUGAGGGAAAGGUGAAAGAGUCUUGUCAGAAGCCUCUCUGCACAUUGGAGGUGAGAUUUCCCAAGGCGACAAGCUCAGUCACCCUCCGCUUUCCCCUCCACAUCCCAUCUUCAGUGCCUCCUAACCCAGAUCUUUGGGGGGAGGGGUUGGCCAGAUGUGGAAUUCCCUCACCCAUAGUCAUCCUUCUCAGUGUCCCCAUUUUGCCAACCACUGGGUCGUCUCCACACUCCCCUCCUCCCCUAUUACCAGAUUUGCCAAUCCCCAGGUCCUGUGGAAAGAGCUGAGAGGAAGGUUGGGCUACCAGGGUCCAGCUGGGGUUGAGGUCUAGGGGUUCUUGCCUUUUGUUGGAAGGUGGAGAGGGAAUGUGAGAUCCUUCUGCUUCAGAUUGGUCUUCUCUGCUGGCUUUCCUUCUAAGUAUGGAGGAAGAGCUUAAGAGCAAGAAGUCUUCCUGCUCCUCCAAGACUGAAGAAGCUUUUCACAGGUAGAGCCUUUGUUCAAGGAGCUUGACAUUUCUUUGUGUAUGUAUGGUUGGUUGGUAGGGGGAGACAGGGGGGGCAUAUUUCAAUUCAACUGAGCAACACCUUCUAAAGCUUUGGUGAACUCAAAAAGGACUCAGGGCUAGCCCAGGAGACAGUGAUCAGGGUGGAAGACUGGACUUAUGUGAAGGUGGGAGAGGGGGAGAGAAGAUGGGAGAGGGAGGAGGUUUUCUCCCUGAUUGGAUAUUAGAAUGGGAAUACGGACACGCUGUUGCCUUUAGGGAUUUAUAGUUUCAAUCAUUGCUACUGGUUGUGGGCACCUAAACCAGAAUCAGGAACAGGAGAAUUUGUGGAAGGGUGACUAGGAAUCUGAAAACUAAAUACUCAUUUAGGCUUUACCUGCGUAGUUCAAAGGGGGGAAAUCCAAACCAGCUGACACCUUCAGGCAAGUGCUAAAUGCUCUAAAAAGACACUAAUUGAAGACUGUAAAAAAUUUAUUAGCAAAUAUUUUGAAACCACCCAAAUGUCCCUCAAUGAGAGAUUGUUUAGAUGAAUUAUAAUCUAUAUACUGAAAUACUGUGCAGGAGCUAAAAACAAAAUGAAGUAAAUCUGUAAAUAUUGACUAUCAAGGAAGUCUAGGAGGUAUUGUUAAGUGAAGAAAUAUGAUCAUAUUUUCAUUUUUUAAGAGAAACUGUUAAGGGUGUAUAGUCUAUAGGUGUAUUUCUAUGACACGGAGGAAUAAAAAAGACUGGUAAGUACCAGAAUGUUGACAAUGAUUACUACUGCAGCUGAGAUGGGAGUUGGAGACUGUUUUAAAGAGGAGAAAAAUGAUAUGAUUAAAGGUAAUUUGAACUUAAUUCAAAUUAAGUUUGAACUGAAAAGCCUCUUGUUGUUUUUAUUUUAUUUCAAUGAUUUCUGUAAUAAAAAAAAGUACUACUAAAAUCAGAAAAAGCAAGUAGAUGAAGAUAUCAAUUCCUGAUCCAUCUAUCCCUUCUACUCCUUUGAAAUAAAGAUCCACCAUCUACAAGCCAGAUCUGCUCCCAGGGCCAAGGGUGCUCUGUCCCAGCUGAAAACUUACAUGAAUAUGACAUUCCUAAGUCCAAGGUCAGCCUGUUUAUUGAUACCGAAAAAUAAGAGCUUAGAGAUGUGCCUGCUCACCCAGAAAAAAGAGGCAUACCCUCUUUCUCUAUGCAGACUUUCUGAAUCAAAUCUGAGCAGAGGUGAAGUUCUGCCAUUUCCCUGGAUUGGCUGUGCUCACUAACCAUGUCUCAUUUUAAAGGUACUUCCUGAAAUUUCCAAGCGCCGCAGUCUAUUCAAACUUUUGUUCUUUUAAACCUUUCUGUCUAAGGAGACAGAAGAACAUAGUGAUUAAGCAGGGGAGUUGAAGUCUGACUGAACCAUGGUUUUCUCAUUUACUGAUUAUAUGACCUUAAGCAACUUAUUUACUACCUUGUGCUUCUGUUCCCUUAUCAGUAAGGUGGGAAUACAAUAGCACAUAACUCAUAGGUUUGAUAAGAGUAUUAACUAAGAUGAACCUGUAAAGAGCUUAGGAGACUGCUAAGUGUCAGCAGUUAUUAUCACUAACCCUGUCUAGAAAACUGCAAAUCAAGGGGCAAUGGAAACCUCUUAGAGGCAGCUUGAAUCUUCCUAGUGUGGGCAGGAGGGAUGGAGCUGCAGAAAUGGGAAUAGAUUAAGGAUACUUAAACUACAGUCUGUAUACUUAGAUGGAAUAAGAUGAUGAGUUUUAGAUUCAUACUUCCUUGGAUUCAAGGCUGGGAUUUACCAUUUACUAGCUAUUUGCACAUGAAUAAUUAUAUUACCUCUCUGUACAUUUUGUUAACUACAAAAUGUCAACAGUAAUAGUGCGCAUUUUAUAUAGUGGCUCUGAUAAUUAAGUGAAUUCUCAGCAUUUGUAAGUGUUAGCUUCUAUUUAUGUUUUGCCUUCUAAAAGCAAAAUUGCUUCAGAUGCUGUCAGUGACCCACUCACAUCCCUUUGUCCUUUACACUUCAGUGCAGCUGCCAGCUCCUGUAUUUUUCUUCCUGAAAGUUUUAUCGGGAUUCUAAGGCACUUUGCCUACACUUAUGGUAGGUCAUAAGUGCCUCAAAAUUAAUAAUCACUCAUCAGCCUUCUACCAAUGACCAAUAUGAGUUGGUAAAGGUUUUUUUUACACUGAUUCCCAGAGCUUCCUCAGAAGGAUUAAGCUCAGUUGCCCACAAUAAUAGCUGCUUGAUAACUUCUCCUUCCCUGUCUCUCUUUCCCAUUUCUCCAUCUUCAAUUCACCAAUAAACUAUUUGCACUGGAAUUCUUUUCUCAGGGUCUGCUUCUGGGAGAACCCAAACUAAGACAGAGGUCCAUAGUGUCCUGUGGUGAUGAUGAUGGUGGCAUGUGUUGCUCAUACAAGCUUCUGCCUUAUUUCAUUCCAAGAUUGCCAUUCAGAAGCCCAUAUCCUAUGAAAUUAUUAAUUUUAAUGUUUGGUUUUGCUCUCUCUUAACUCAGAUAUCCCCACUUCUCUUUCUUACAGUUUCCUGGUUUCCAAGGAAAGUGCAAGAUCUUGAUAACUGCUUCUAAUUGGUAACCAAAUACGGUCCCCUCUCACCGUGUAAGAGAAAUGCCCUUGUUUGUCUGAAUUUCAUUCCAGAACUUACUAUUUACACUCUCCAAACUUCCAAAAGAGGAUACCAGGCAGCCUUUUCCUCUGCACUGAAAAUAAAUACCAUCAUGCAGGAAUCUGACAGGCAGUCCUCUAUCUUUCCAAAGAAUAUGGCUGGAAAUGUGGUUAUAGAUUUAGGCCAAUGGACAUGUGCUGCAAAACCUCUAACCCAAGAGAUACAGAGAAAGGUAAACUAAACUCUCCAGUUCAUGAGUGCCUUGGAAGGAGCAAUUCUCGUAGUAGAGUGGGUAGCCUGGAGUCAGACAGGCUGGGUUCUUAUCCUGGCUCCUCCACAACUUAAUGUGUAACCUUGAGAAAUGUAUCUAAUGUUGCUAAACUCUGGUCUUCUCAUUUGCAAAUUGGCGAUAAUAAUAAUGUAUACACACUUCACAGUUUUUUUUUCAGGGCUUUAGUAUGCUAAUUCACAUUAAGAACUUAACACAAUGGCAUAUCGUAAAUGUCUAAUAAAUGCUAGCCCUCACUUUAAGUAUUGAGAAAAAUGACAACAACAGCAUUUUGUAGAGGAACCACAAGGGACUAUAUGGUACACACUGAGUUUAUAGAAUCUGGAAGCUGGAAAGAGAUCCUAGACACCCUCCAGCACAGCAACCUCCUAAUCAAGGUAAGGUGAGGCAACAUUCUGCAGAACACACAAUUGGUUUCAGCAAGCAAGCAGUGAUUUUUCAGUACAUGUUAGACAUGAUUGUUGGUAUUAGUAUUGUUGCUGUUGGAACUGCAGGCAAAGCGGAGAGCUGGUUUUGGAAGACAUUAGGGUUAUAGGUCAGUGCAGAGCCUGUUUCUUGUCACCUAGUACGUAGCCACAGGUAACACCUAACACCAGCUGAAAAUAGGGGACCAUUUCUAUCCUCCAGGCCAAGAAUGUGGAUAGGGACCUGUCUACCUUGGAAAAGGAGGUGGGUCUUCCUGGGUGCAGUUUGCCAGAGGGAAAAAUAGGUGUAAUUAGUAUGGCACUGGGAGGAAAAUACAUAGAGACAGAGAAAAGAGCAUGGUUUCUGCCUAGACAAUCUCAGUGGGUGAGAUCUAAGUUGGCAGUUGGUCAGUUCCCAGGGUAGAAUGAGUAUCCACAGUACACAGGUCACAUUGCUGAGCAAACGCACCAGUGGAAUUUGCCCUAGAAAUUUCUGCCCCUUAUCUCCAAGAACGCACAUUGGAGGCUCUAUCCAGAGUGAAUUGCUGGAGUUCUUUUGGAGAUUGUAACUCAAAGAAAGCUGGGCUGCCUUGUGGUCUAUCUUAUCACAGUACAGUCAUGCACAAAAUAAUGACAUUUCAGUCAAUGAAAUGUAUGACGGGGGUCACAUAAGAUGAGUACCAUGUAGCCUAGGUGUGUAGCAGGUCUACCAUCUAGGUUUGUGUAAGUACACCCUAUGAUGUUUGCACAAUGAUGAAAUUGCCUAACGACACAUUUCUCAGAACAUAUCCCCACAUUAAGCAAUGUAUGAAGGUAUUGCUUUCUAAAGAAACAUCAUUCUCAUGGCAAAGAAGCGUUGUUGGCAAUUUAAUUCUUGACUGGAAUUUUUGGAAAGGGUGUUGAAGGGAAAUUCUAUUUCUUUCCGUACAGCAAAAUAAGUACACUGAACUCCAGAAAUUUCUCUCCUUCCUCUUCCCUGUAUUUUCUGUCUCUCAAACUUCCAGCCUAUGAGGGUUUUCUUUCUCUCUCUCAUAUCUACCUUCCUAUCUCCUCCUGACUUUCUAGCUUUAAAGAUAACACAGUGUUAUGGUUCAGAGUGUGAUCUCAGAAUCAAAUCGACUAGCUUUGAGCACAGCACUGCCCCUGUUUGUUUGUGGCCUUGGAAAAGUUGCCUAAUAAUAUUAGUUGACAUUGUUGACUUUUACCUUGUGCGAGACAGGUACUCAGUAACUUGUCCAAUGUCACUUAGCCAGUGAGUGAUAGAUCCAGGACUCCAGCUCAGGCAGCUUGAUUCCAAAGUCCACACUCUUGGAAACUAUGCUAUUCCUCAGUUUUAUCAUCUUUAAAAUGGAGAUAAUAAUAAUACCACCUCAUGGCAGGGAAGGCAAUAUAUCACAGAGUGGUAAGGUGGUAAAUAUAUUAAUUUCCCCUUGACAUCAAAUGUUCUUAAUGGUUCCAUUUUACUGAGUCAACUGAAGUUCGGAGAAGUUCAGUUACUUUCUUAUGGUUACACUGGGAAAUUGCUAAAGCUGGCUGGAUUUCAAUUCAAAUCUAGACUAGGCAUUUCAAUCCUAUACUCAGCCAUCUGUGAAUGAUGUGAUAGCGGGCAUGUUUCUCUACCUCCAUGGGCCUCAGUUUCCUCAUCUUGAAAUUGAGGGAUGACAAUAUCUGUCAUGCCCACUUCACAAAGCUAGGGUAAGAGUAAAAAUUAAAUAUGAAAAUGAAAUUUAUAAACCUUCAAGUGGCAUGGAAAUCUAAGUUAAGUUACCAUAGAAACGUUCUGCUAAGUGACAUACAGCUGGGGAAUGACCAAAGUUUGAUGGACACACCAGACACACUAAGAAUCACCUGAGGACACCAUCGGUGGCCAUUCAGUCUACAGGGGGAUCUGCUAAGAGAACCUGCUGAGGAGUGGACAGAGGCAUAGCUCCCAAGGCACCUGGAGCCAGAGACGCGGGAGAAUAGUGCUUUUCUGAAGGAUAAAAAUCUACCUGUGUUGUGAAAAAAGAAAAAGGCAGAAUUGAGACUGAGUUAAAGAAGCAACUCAAGUUCAUUCAUUGGAUAAAUGUUUUGCAAGCCUACUCUUGGCAAGAUCCUGAAGAUGCAGUACUAAACAGGACAGAUGUGGUUCCUGCCUUCAUGGAACUAAGAUUCCAGCUGGGUGAGCCUUGUUGUACCAUAAAGCUUCAUCAGUGAGACAACAGCUUCAUGAGAGCGUCACUCAGAUAAUCCAGAAAUUAAGGUGCACAGAACUCCUUGGACAUGUGUACCUAACUCUGGUACCUAUGUGGGAGGAAACUAAUCUAAACUGGAAACAACCCUAGAAUGGAUAAACAAGAAUUUUUAGAUUCUUUCCUCAACUGUGCCAUUGGAUCAAACAUUUUAAAGCUCUCUUGGAAGAAGAACCUGGGACCUGUUGAUCAAAAUGCCAAGAAACAGCUCUGAUGGAGGGGAACUAAGGACAGAGAUGGAAAAGCUGACUCAGUAAAAGCUCAGGGAUAACCGCUGCAGCCACCCAACCCUUUGGCCUCUCUACCUUUUUGACUUAUUUCUUCUGAACACAUUAGUUCAAAAUGGUGGAUGUACAGAUGCAUGGCAUGUUCCAAAUAUGUGAGUGCCAGGCACUGUCCUAGGUGCUGAGGAAUCCAUGAUGAGCAAAUCAGACACAGUCCUUGUCUUAAAUUUGCUUACUGUUGCCUCAGAAAAGAGCAAACAAGGAUUUAAUCUCAGCUCUGCCACUAACAAGCUGUGUCACCUUGGGUAAGUCACUUCACCUUUCUGACUUUCUGUUUUCUUAUUUUGACCUUUAGUUCAGCAGAACCCCUAUAGGAGCACCAAUGGCUUUAGAAAGUGGUAGGCUACCAUCUACAUUGAGGUUUCAUUGAUGCUUGUGCCUCUAUCCUCCUACCAGUCAAUUCUUGUUUAAUUCAGAGCUAGGCCGUGCCAGACCAGUGAGAAGGCUGUCUUCUCCACAUGGCCCCACCCAGGGUCCCUUGGGUCCAAUUACAUCAACCCUUUCUCGAAAUUCACUCACCAAAUUAGCUGUUACGUGCUCUGGCCGUGUGAGUGGGUCACAUCCAUUACCUCACAGAUGUGAUGGCUCCAGCAAAGCCCCCAGGGAGCUGUGCAGCCCACUGCAACCUCCUUCAAGGGCUUUCAGAGGAGCAGGAGCAGAUGCUUCCCCUCUGCAGUGCUACUGGUCCAUAAAAAGAAAAAAAUGAUCCCAGAGUCAAAAGAUUCACUUUCAAAAGAGCCCCAGGGCUAAAACAAACUGUGGUGACAGACUGGCGGGAAGAAGAAGCUAGAACGAUAUCCACAGAAAAACAGAGACAUUUGUGGAUAUUAAGAGAAAAUAUGCAUUCUUCUGAUCACCAGCCUAACCAAGUCUGGCAGAUUCUGAUGGGGGCAUUUUUGUAAACAUUUAGGUUUAAUCUGCGCUCCCUCAUUACUAAAUUAGUCCGGAGUACGCACUCUGGGUGACACAUAGGAAGAAUAGUAAUACAUCUCACUGUUAAUUUAAUUAAUAUAUAUUGAGCAGCUAUUGUGUGCUUGGCAUCAUUAUGGGCACUGGGGAUACAACAAUGAACGAAACAGUGCUUGCUCUCAUGGUACACAUUCUAGUUAGGCAAGACAGAAAAUAAAAACAAACUAAUUAAACAAAAAGAUAUAUGUGAUAUGAUUCACGUAGUGACAAGUGCUAUGAAGAAAAGGGAAGUAGGGAAGGGGAUAGAGAACAAAGAGAGAAAGGACUGCUCUUUAAGUUGGGGGCAGGAAAGACUUCUUGACUGGGGUGACAUUUGAGCAGAAACUUGAGUGAAGGGAGGGGGUGAUCUAGGCAGAUACCUGAGGAAAAAACAUUCCACACAAAAGAAAGAGCCUAACCAAGUAUCUGACAGGGGCUGGCUGCUAUGUAUUUUACACACCUUAUAAAUAUUUUCUCAAUUAGUUCAUAAAAUAUGAGACAGGUAUUUUCACUGACAUUUGAGAAAACUGAAGUUCAAAGAGUUUAAAUGACGUGUCCAGGCCACACAGCAAGUUAAGUGGCAGAGAUGGAAGGUGGCUCUACCUCAGUGUUCUUCACUCUUACGCUUAGCUGUUCCUGGCGUUAGUCAUUCCUAAGCUUCACUUGAAUCUGAUUCUCUGUUGCCCCAUAUAAAGCACACUCUCCCACCUUCCUAAGCUUCUUCCAGCUCUGAGUUCUGGAAUUUGACGCAAAUUCCCUAGAGACAGAGUUUGGUAUUAUUCCCUGACUCCCAUGAAAGGUUAGAUGAAGAAGCCCCUGAGAAACCAGCUGAGGCAUGUGCCCAAAGAUGGCUGAGUCUAAAAACAUCUGGAGGCAUAGAUGGAACUGUCCUCAUCACGCCAUGGGGAGGCCAGCCUCUCCCGGGCACUUACUUAGGUUGCUGACUCCAUGUCUUUCUUUCUGGGGAGAAUUGGGUAUGGGAGGGUGUCAGUUACACCCGCCCUGACUAAGGAAAUGUGCAGAAUGGAAAGACAGCCAUUACCCCAGGCUGGCCAUUGCCUCCUUAGCAACAAUAGCCAUGUACACAUUCACACACAAACACUGCACCAAAACAAGCAAAGGUCACUCUCUCUGGGCACUUCCAAGAAUGAUCUCAAUUUUUCAUAAAACAAUGUUUAUAAAUUAGAUGGAACCCCAGAGCAGUCCGGGAAUAGAAAUAACCAUUUUAUGAGGUUUCCUGCCAUUACAUUAUUGCUUGUUUGCUUUGAAUGAGCAAAAUACAGUUUGCGGCCCACCCCUUGCAGAGCCAAGCAAAGACAUUUUUACGACGGCUCCAGCCAAGCGAGCCUGAAUGGGGAGAUAUCCUUGGUACUAGUAGGGGCUUCCAUUCAUGGCCUUUUGACUGGAAGCACCUAAAAGGCAGGGCUGUGCUCUACUCAUCUUUGCAUCCCAGCACCAAGCACUGUCCCAGCACAACAUAAACAUUUAAGAAAUGAUUUUAAUUGUUGAAUGAGUGAAUAUGUGACUGAAUCAAUGAAUGAAAGCAUGAUUGAAUAAUCUGAUUGCUGGGGCUGGUACUAAAGAAUGUGAGAUAAUUGACAAGAAUACAAACACUUUUGAGCCCUUGUUAGAUGUCAGAGCUUUAUAAGUGAUGACAUCAAAGAAGUGUCCCAUGUUUUUCAACCUACUUCCUGCUCUUGCUGGCUUUUCCUCAGUCCCUCAAGGCCUCUGUGCUGCUUGCUACAGCCCCCGACCCCGGUUGCUCUGCAUCCCUAACUCCAGAAUUUACUUUGCAUCUUUACCUAUAAAAAUUCCCAUAUCUCAGUCCCCCUGAUGUAACUGGCUGGCAUGAAGAAAAGCAUUUGAUAAACUAAAUGCCUUAGUUGAGUUCUCUCAGAAGCAGACGCUGAGGCAAGGAUUCAAGUUCAUGCGGGUUAUUUGGGAAGAGAGGUUGGAAGGUAAGACAACCAACAAAGGGUGUGUUAAGUGAGUUACCUCUAUGGGCAACUGGACCUUAGUCCCAUGUGGAAACUCUGAAAAAUAGUGUGGGAAAUAUACCACCUUAUUCCAAGUUAUCCCAUCCAGGGGCAAGGGAACCAGGGUAUUUAUGCACCAUCUUGUCAGUCAUAGAUUGCGGGGUGUUAAUUCUCUGGCGCGUCAAGAUUCCUUGCUCAUGGGCAGAUUGGCCUUUCUCAGUUUCAGAGAAAAGUUAGGCAAAGUAAUGCUGAUGCCUAUGGUUGGAAGUAACUGGGGCAAACUGGAGAGGAACAGCUGGAGGAAUGUGGGUGGGGCACUGACAACAUUGACCUCCCUAACUCUUGCAGGGUGAAAUGGCUGUUCACGUCUACCACAAAUACCCUCCUAGAGGGAUCUGACUUUCUAAAGAAGAGCUUGAACUGGAUAAUGCUCUAAGUCGAAUGAAUGCCUGUCAUAUUCAGUUCCGAAGUUGAGAGAGGAAGUUGAGACUUGGUGGUGGUGGGAGGGGGCAAAUGAAUCUCAACUUAGACAUGGCAGAAGCAUGAGCUUUUCUUGAGAUUCUGGGUGAGGUGAGCUCCACUUUCAUAAAGAAGUGGUAAUGUAACUGGUAUUCUUUCCAGGAGAGAGGUUAACCAAAGACUGACUAACCUUUAUCGAACCCAUGCCUGUAAGCUGUACCUGGAUGCCUUUCCGUUACCAGAGAAAUCCUGUGACUUCUCAGAGGACCACAUCUCUCAGCUGCAGGAUGUAUCUAGACUCUUAAAAGACAAACUUCCUUCCCCUUUUCCCCCUUGCUUGCUCACAAAUAUACAAGAGAAAAUUUGUAGUUUCAUGGAAUUUUACCUACGUUAAAACUAGAAGGAAUCUUAGAGACCAUCUCUUCCAAACCUGUCAUUCUACAGAGUGGACACUGAGAUCCAGAGUGGGGAAGUCACUUGCCCCAAAUCACACAAUGGUGAGUGGCAGGCUGGUUUUAUCAGGCAGAGUUCAGCCAAUAAAAUAAAAUCACUUUAGGUUUGUUAAGCAAAAAGAGAUUUAAUGUGGGGAAAUAAAUACUUACAAAACCAUUGGAAAGGCUAAAAGGGCGAAAGUCAGGAGGAUUGCACUAGCUUUUAAGCCAUGGUUACAACAGUCCCAGAACUUCUGAAGCUGUCAAGAGCUUGGAAACCAGUUCUUUACGCAAGCCUGUGGCAUGUAAAUUUCAGAAGGCCACAACAAAACCUCUUGUGCACUGCGUCCCAUGCUGCUCCUUCCAGAAGAAAAUGAUCUCUUUGAUCUCUCCUCCACCUUCCACGUCUUAUGCUGGUACAUCUUGCUGGUAGACUGGAAAUCAUAUUUAGACUAGAAAUCAUGUUUAGACACCCUGGAGGUAAAGGAGUCUGGGAAAUGUAGUUCUCUGGCUUCUAGUCCUGAGAUUAAGGAGAGAGGAUAAAAUGGGUAGAAAUGAAUGUAGAUGGUCACAGAUGAAACAAAACAGUACCUAGCACUGUGGUGAGCACCAGUUUGUAGGUACACUUGAGAACCUAGAGGGGGCAUCUACUUGGUGGUAUACGCUUCUCCCAAUGAACAAGAGGGAAAGAAGGUCGGGAAAGAGGGCCAGCACUGGCCAGACUUCUGUACCUGGUCCCACCCUUGGCAGCAGAUCUAGAGACCCUGACACAGGAGUAAUUCCAAUAUCAUCAUUCAGUCCAUCAUGUUCAUUGCCUUCAUUUUGCUACCUCCCACACACGUCAGUCUACAGUGCUGUAUCACGGGUGUGCAGUGACAAACCUCAGGAGGAAACUGAGGGUUCUCAGGACCUGUGGUGGCUGCGAGUAGAAAAACUGGAUAUGGACAUGCAGAAAACCUGCAUUGGCAGAAGCUGUAGAUGCUCACCAGGAACUCUCAUUAGUACCUCACUGAUGUAUAGGCAUUUGGAGUAACAUGACUUAUUGAUAUCCAUAGAUUUGGGCUAACUCGGUUGGAGUUAUGGCUCUUACAUUGUUUUGAUUCAUGACUUUGGACAAGUUACCUCAGUUUCCUCAUCUCUAGGGGGAAUAUUAUUGGGCUACAAUGUUCCAGUCCUAACAUUCUACUAUCUUGAUAUCAAAGCAUCUUAAUUGUAACCUUGUAAAACUGUCCUGAACCCCAAAGUAUGGCAAAGUUUCACUCAAAUCUGGAACUUUCUAUCUUAAGCGGAACAGUUCUGUCUAGACAGUUCCUUCCCAAUCCUCUCUCCCUCAACCAGAAUUAGGACUGACCCUUUGAGGCCAAUAGGGUCACUAUAGUGUUUGGAUCACAAAUGUGUAAAUUAUAGUACACAGCAUAAUUGAGAGUUCUCCAUCAGAAACCACCCAAGGCCCUGAAACCCGUUUUCAGAGCAAUCCUUGCACCAGACUUUGAGAAAAGGCUUUUGAGAUGACAAGAUUUCCACUUUCUUUCAGGAAUCCCAUACCCUUCUGUUGUUUCCCUGUUUCAAACUCUUGUGGAUGGAGGCAUCUCAUGUUCCUAGUUUCUUUCUCCCUAAUCAAAGCUUAUCAAGUGUCACUCCUUCCUAGGCUCUUGUCCUUUGUUCCGAUAUGAGAGUGGCAUUGUUGAGAUAAUCAAAUCCCUGCCAGCUUACUAUCGAACUAGUGUAUUAUCUCAACUAAUUUGCAGAAUAUUUGAAUCAAUUUAAAAUGUGGCAUUUGUGGUGGGUUUACUACUAUUACUAUUAUUGUCAUUAUUACUAAAUAAUAAAUUAUUACUAUGGAUGAUGAUAAUGAUGAUAGCACUUUAUCUUUGUAGAGAGUUUUGUGGUCUUCAAAUUGUUUUAUUACUAAUUUUCUAAGGAGGGAACUAAAACUCAGAUCAGUUCAGAGAUUUGUCCAAGAUCAUCCAACCAAUUAGUGGUAGAACUGGAAAUAAAACCUAAGUCUCUUGGCUUCCAGUUGAUGCUCUUUUCACUGCAUAUCUCACUGCUGGGAGGAAAACCCUACAAAAGUCUCAGAGCAAGGAGAACUGAGGAAGAUGGAUGAACCAAGCAAAAAGACUGAUGCCAUGGUGUGUCCCAGUGUGGCAUUAGACAAACUUGCAGUCCUUGGCAGCAAAAUACACAUCCAAGAACAAGACCAAGUGGCUGGUUCACAGCAUGGUCUGAUUUCUGAGUUUUAGAGAUAGUAAAACAUUUAUUUCUAAAUAAAUCAGUCUGUUUUUCUGCCUUAAGAAGCACGGCCAGGGCCCCCAUCUUUGUGUAGGUUGGACCCUGCAUAACCCUAGAUGGUAUCAUUUACCCAAUAGGCGCUGUAGAUUUAUAUAGGUAUUGUCAAAAUUUCUGGAAGAUGAAUGUAGAAUGUCUUGUUCUAACAAAAUCAACAUAUGAUGACAAUUUUCUGAGAGAUGGAAGUGAAGUGUCUUGAAGAGGCGAGCUCUUUUUUGUAAUUCACUCAAAGCCAGAUAGGUGAGCGAGUGUCAAGGACACAAUCUAGGGUCCAUAUGGAUGGAAGAUAUGAAAUAGAAAUUUGGCUUUUAUUUGUUUACUUAUUGAUUGAUUCAUGGUUCAUUUAUUCAUGCAUUAUGCCUUCAUUUAAAAACCCGACUUUGGGGGAUAGUCUGUACUAGACAUUGUGCCUGACCUUGGAUGCUUAAGACUAAAAUCUUGCUCUCUGAGACCUGUCUAAUGGGAGAAUCAGACAAGUAAAUAAAAUACCUUAUAUUAGCGUAGAGUUUCAUGGGAACCCAAAGGCAGGAAAUAUAAUCCAGCCUUGUAUGGGAUAAGACAAGCAGGGUAGGGAGAGUCAGCGAAAGUCAUUUUUCUACCUGAGUGGCAUGAGGGUGUUCUAGGUUGAAGGAGCAGCGUGCACAAAACCCUGAAAGUAGUAGACUGUGUCCUCAGAACUUGCUAUGUAUUUGCUCUUUUAAAUCUCAGAACAACCUUAUCUGGCAGGCACUAUUAUUAUUCCCAUUUAACAAAUGAGAAAACAAAGGCAUAAAGAGAUUAGGUAACUUGUUCAAGGUUACACAGCUGUUAAAGAAUAAACCUGGUAUUUGAACCCGGAGAAUACAGCGACCGAGUUCACCUAUUUCCUUCUGCCUGUCCAGAGAGCAUGGUGCUUAGGAGAGCCCACUUUGGCCCAUGAGUGUGAGGUAAGGGGAACCUUGGUGCCUGGGGGUGGUCUGAUCCAGGGCUGGUUGUAAGAACACAAGCCACCUCUCUUCUUUAGCUCUAGCUGGCAACUCUACCUUUUCCUCUGGCUGGUCCUGGAAUCUCCUGCCCAGUCCCCCAAGGGGCAUAUACCUAACAAAUUGUGAGGACCCCAGGAAAUUACUCAUCUUUCCCAUUCCAUGUUUGUGCUGACUCCAGAGACAUUUUCCAGAAGUUGCUUUGUCAAUUUUUAAACUAAAUUUCCAUUCACUUGUUUUCUUGCUACGAGGCUCUUUUCCCUAAAUAUUGAGGGAUGGGAAGGGUGACCCCAAAAUUGAAUUUCAGUUAUUUGAGAGCUUGGGUUUAGACUGAUUCCAGUUAAUUGAGAGUUUACUCUAUUGUGCUAUUGUAUUACGUAAAUUCCAAAAAAGCUGGAAAGAAUGCAUACAUUUCAAAAAAUCUGCUACUUGCUCUCUCAGAACUUUUGGUCUAUUUGGUCAAAGUCAAAAUUUAUUGUUGAGGGGUUAUUAGAAAGAAUUAAGUUAAAACUUAGCUGAAAAAAAUAACCUAUUCUGUACAUGUUUUAAGUGUAACAGCCCAUUAAAGUCACUAUGCAAGUUUUUGCCACUGUUCAUAGGGUUUGAUCAAAUGAGCAGAGAGCCCUUUUCUUGUUUUGGCUGUAUCUUGGGUUCAACGAUUAUUUAACCAUCAGAUACAAAUACUCAGCCGCUAAAACACCAGAUCAUUGCACGCACAAGUUACAAAAUAUGCUUUCAUGAGCACUAGAGUACUUCCACGCAAAACGUAGCAAAAAGAUCUUAAUAAAAAUGUCCUUUCUGAAAACCAGUUCAGUGUGGGUAUUUUGCUAUUGAUCAUGAGAGCAAAGCUCUAUCUGUGGCUUUGGUUCAUCAGCUGUGGGGGUGAGCUCCCUCGUUGGAGAGGCAGGCACUAUUGGAGAGGCAGGCAAUAUGGUGGAAAAGGCACCGGCCUGGGCAUCACGGGGUGGGAAGGAGAACUUAAUACUCACCCCAACUCUACCGUGGUCUAACCCUGGAUGAGUCCCUUUACUUUGGGAAGCUCAGUUUCUUAUCUAAAAUGGAUCCGACUCUGUGAUCUCUGUUUGCCCCAUUCCACAGUGAAACUAGACCAAAGCUUUCAUACUGAUAUAGAAAGGCAGGCCUUGAGUAACCGUACAUUUUAUUGAAUCAGGGCUCUUAAACUUUGUAAAGGACCAGGUUGUGGACAUGUUAGGCUUUGCAGGCCAUAUUCUCUCUGUCACAACUGCUCACCUCUAAUGUAGCAGGAAAGCAGCCAUAGACAGUCCAUAAGUGAAUAAGUGUGGCUGUGUCCCCAAAACACUCUAUUUACCAAAGCAGGCAACAGACAAGGGGCAGGAUUUGGCCAGCAGACUCCAGUUUACAACCCCUGAUUGAGGUGAUGGCUGUAACAGAGAGUUGGGGGGUCAGCAGUGGGACCGAGCCUUGGCCUGUCUCAGAGACCUGAUUGGGACAGGGGAGGCCACAGGAGUCUGCUCCCACCUUGCAAAGGCCACCAAAGCCACUCAGCC